UGGUUAAAAAGCUCGUAGUUGGAUCUCGGCGGACUGAGGGCGGUUUGCUUGCUAGUAUUACUGCCCUAUAGUCCGUAGUUUUGCCAGAGGUUUCGGGGUGCUCUUAAUCGAGUGUCCCGGGAUGCUGGCAGGUUUACUUUGAAAAAAUUAGAGUGCUCAAAGCAGGCUAUUACGCCUGAAUAUUCGUGCAUGGAAUAAUAGAAUAGGAAGUCGUUUCUAUUUUGUUGGUUUUCGGAAAUCGACUUAAUGAUUAAUAGGGACAGUCGGGGGCAUUUGUAUUCAGACGACAGAGGUGAAAUUCUUGGACCGUUUGAAGACAAACUACUGCGAAAGCAUUUGCCAAGAAUGUUUUCAUUAAUCAAGAACGAAAGUUAAAGGUUCGAAGGCGAUUAGAUACCGCCCUAGUUUUAACCAUAAACGAUGCCAGCUAGCGAUCUGCGGACGUUUUUUUUGUAGACUCCGCAGGAAGCUUCCGGGAAACCAAAGCAUUUGGGUUCCAGGGGAAGUAUGGUUGCAAAGCUGAAACUUAAAGGAAUUGACGGAAGGGCACCACCAGGAGUGGAGCCUGUGGCUUAAUUUGACUCAACACGGGAAAUCUCACCAGGCCCGGACACUGGAAGGAUUGACAGAUUGAUAGCUCU
RNAcentral lists this ribosomal RNA (641 nucleotides) under uncultured marine eukaryote. RNAcentral's name for it is "SSU rRNA". It matches the Rfam family "Eukaryotic small subunit ribosomal RNA", at positions 616 to 1258 of the family's 1831-position model. The record is from RNAcentral.